Molecule: ribosomal RNA, 483 nt
Filed under: uncultured bacterium
Lineage: Bacteria
Description: SSU rRNA
Rfam family: Bacterial small subunit ribosomal RNA
Source: RNAcentral
AGGACGAACGCUGGCGGCGUGCUUAACACAUGCAAGUCGAACGGAAAGGCCCGCUUGCGGGUACUCGAGUGGCGAACGGGUGAGUAACACGUGGGCAACCUGCCCUCAGCUUCGGGAUAACACUUGGAAACAGGUGCUAAUACCGGAUAAUAACUUUUCAUCGCAUGGUGGAUGGUUCAAAGUUUUUCGGCUGAGGAUGGGCCCGCGGCCUAUCAGCUUGUUGGUGGGGUAAUGGCCUACCAAGGCGACGACGGGUAGCCGGCCUGAGAGGGCGACCGGCCACACUGGGACUGAGACACGGCCCAGACUCCUACGGGAGGCAGCAGUGGGGAAUAUUGCGCAAUGGGCGGAAGCCUGACGCAGCGACGCCGCGUGAGGGAUGACGGCCUUCGGGUUGUAAACCUCUUUCAGCUCUGACGAAGCGCAAGUGACGGUAGGAGCGAGAAGAAGCACCGGCCAACUACGUGCCAGCAGCCGCGGUAA